CAGUCGCCGCGGGAAUACGUAGGUGGCAAGCGUUGUCCGGAAUUAUUGGGCGUAAAGGGCUCGCAGGCGGUUUCUUAAGUCUGAUGUGAAAGCCCCCGGCUCAACCGGGGAGGGUCAUUGGAAACUGGGAAACUUGAGUGCAGAAGAGGAGAGUGGAAUUCCACGUGUAGCGGUGAAAUGCGUAGAGAUGCGGAGGAACACCAGUGGCGAAGGCGACUCUCUGGUCUGUAACUGACGCUGAGGAGCGAAAGCGUGGGGAGCGAACAGGAUUAGAUACCCCCGUAGUCCCUGUCUCUUAUAC
This 301-nucleotide ribosomal RNA is filed under the name uncultured bacterium. RNAcentral's name for it is "partial 16S ribosomal RNA". It matches the Rfam family "Bacterial small subunit ribosomal RNA", at positions 509 to 807 of the family's 1533-position model. The record is from RNAcentral.